UCACUCCAAAACCUAGUUCGACUUCUCCACACAUUCAACGCUUUUCUCUACACAUUCAACCCCAGGCGAUUUUGUUUCCACUUUUCACGGCGGCGGUGAAAUUGAAGCGACCAUUCUUCGACUUUUUUUUUUGAGUAAUAUCCGAUGGAAAAGGUAGAACGUGGUAAAAAGAGGGCGACCAUUUAAGGGCAUUUAGAAACCCACAGAAGGGUCCAAGAGGGCAAGAAUAGUUGACAUUGAUGAUGAUUCUUGGGAUGAUUUCAUUCCCAUAGCAGCCGCUAAACAAUACCGAAACGAGAUGGAAGAGUAGGAAGCGAAGAUGGAGGAAGAUGAUGCAGGGGACGGGGUUCGCCCAAAAAAGAGAGAGAAGAUGUAUUGUAUUUCCGGAGAACAUCAAAGGAAUACGUGGACAUGAUUACAAAGCUAAAUCCCCCGACAGAUUGAAGUUGUCCAUGAGCUCGGGUUUGGAGGUAUUUUGGACUACAAAAUACUAGAGAUACCUAGAGAAAUGACCCAUUGGAUACUUUCUAUAUUCAACAGGGAGCGGUGCAGGAUACAAUUUUUAGAAGAUGAGUUUGUUCGUAUCACAUAGGAUGACGUGCAUAUUACUUUCGGCUUUCCAAAGGGCAAUGGCCUGAUGGACCAAAGAACUAAAUAGAUAGAUUUCGCAU
Molecule: non-coding RNA, 671 nt
Organism: Salvia hispanica
Lineage: Eukaryota; Viridiplantae; Streptophyta; Magnoliopsida; Lamiales; Lamiaceae
Source: RefSeq, a predicted model, not a curated record